GUGUCAGCAGCCGCGGUAAUACGAGGGGUGCAAGCGUUAUUCGGAUUUAUUGGGCGUAAAGGGUGCGUAGGUGGUAUGUUAAGUCUGUUGUUAAAUUUUCCGGCCUAACCGGAAGCAUGCAAUGGAAACUGGCGUACUUGAGGAUGGAAGAGGGAAGUGGAAUUCUCGGAGUAGCGGUAAAAUGCGUGGAUCUCGAGAGGAACACCGAUGGCGAAGGCAGCUUCCUGGUCCAUAUCUGACACUGAGGCACGAAAGCGUGGGGAGCAAACAGGAUUAGAUACCCUGGUAGUCCACGCUGUAAACGAUGAUCACUGGACGUUGGUCUGGCUCUGCCGGAUCAGUGUCGAAGCUAACGCGUUAAGUGAUUCGCCUGGGAACUACGAUCGCAAGAUUAAA
RNAcentral lists this ribosomal RNA (396 nucleotides) under uncultured bacterium. Its description in RNAcentral is "bacterial SSU rRNA". It matches the Rfam family "Bacterial small subunit ribosomal RNA", at positions 505 to 898 of the family's 1533-position model. The record is from RNAcentral.